CAGAUCUUUAGUUGCCUGUGGAGAGAUGACUGUGAUGGCUGCCAAACUGAUUCAAGUCCUUCAGCGGGUGAAAAUGCACUGCUAGGAACCCUGAAGGUUUUGCCUGCAUCUCCAAUGGAUGAAGAAUCUGUUUGUACUGCGGGGACUUGAGAAGACAGAGGGCAUGCUUAUGCUGGUGUCUCAGGAUAUAAUUAACGUAAGAAAAAAAGCAAAGAGGAUGCCUGUAUGAAGAAGAAAACCCCACCUGACAACUUUGAUGUAAGAAGAGCCUUCUCCCAUUGACUACUCUGGGGAUGCUGGUGCAUCAGGCAUUCUCACACUGCUGACCUGACCUCUUUAAUCCUGGCUUUCCUGAAGGAAAAGCUGAUCCAUCAGGCCUCCUGUAUCUAAAAUGGGAUGAAAGGAAGCAAUGGACCUGUUUCUAC
Long non-coding RNA from Cuculus canorus (common cuckoo), 425 nucleotides. RefSeq lists it as uncharacterized. Lineage: Eukaryota; Metazoa; Chordata; Aves; Cuculiformes; Cuculidae. The record is from RefSeq and is a predicted model, not a curated record. The transcript is spliced from 4 exons.